RNAcentral lists this ribosomal RNA (589 nucleotides) under uncultured Verrucomicrobiota bacterium. Its description in RNAcentral is "bacterial SSU rRNA". It matches the Rfam family "Bacterial small subunit ribosomal RNA", at positions 335 to 916 of the family's 1533-position model. Lineage: Bacteria; Pseudomonadati; Verrucomicrobiota. The record is from RNAcentral.
ACUCCUACGGGAGGCAGCAGUCGAGAAUUUUUCACAAUGGGGGAAACCCUGAUGGAGCGACGCCGCGUGGGGGAUGAAUGGCUUCGGCCCGUAAACCCCUGUCAUUCGCGAACAAGUUGGUUCAAUUAACACCUGAACCAUUGAUAGUAGCGGAAGAGGAAGGGACGGCUAACUCUGUGCCAGCAGCCGCGGUAAUACAGAGGUCCCAAGCGUUGUUCGGAUUCACUGGGCGUAAAGGGUGCGUAGGCGGUCGGGUAAGUCUGAUGUGAAAUCUCACAGCUUAACUGUGAAACUGCAUUGGAUACUAUUCGGCUUGAGAGUUGGAGGGGGGACUGGAAUUCUUGGUGUAGCAGUGAAAUGCGUAGAUAUCAAGAGGAACACCAGUGGCGAAGGCGAGUCCCUGGACAACUUCUGACGCUGAGGCACGAAAGCUAGGGGAGCAAACAGGAUUAGAUACCCUGGUAGUCCUAGCCGUAAACGGUGCUUAUUUGCUGUAAAAGGAAUCGACCCCUUUUGUGGCGUAGCAAACGCGUUAAAUAAGCCGCCUGGGAAGUACGGUCGCAAGAUUAAAACUCAAAGGAAUUGACGG